Molecule: ribosomal RNA, 468 nt
Filed under: uncultured bacterium
Lineage: Bacteria
Description: partial 16S ribosomal RNA
Rfam family: Bacterial small subunit ribosomal RNA
Source: RNAcentral
GACGAACGCUGGCGGCGUGCUUAACACAUGCAAGUCGAACGGAAAGGCCCUGCUUUUGUGGGGUGCUCGAGUGGCGAACGGGUGAGUAACACGUGAGUAACCUGCCCUUGACUUUGGGAUAACUUCAGGAAACUGGGGCUAAUACCGGAUAGGAGCUCCUGCUGCAUGGUGGGGGUUGGAAAGUUUCGGCGGUUGGGGAUGGACUCGCGGCUUAUCAGCUUGUUGGUGGGGUAGUGGCUUACCAAGGCUUUGACGGGUAGCCGGCCUGAGAGGGUGACCGGCCACAUUGGUACUGAGAUACGGCCCAGACUACUACGGGAGGCAGCAGUGGGGAAUAUUGCACAAUGGGCGGAAGCCUGAUGCAGCAACGCCGCGUGCGAGAUGACGGCCUUCGGGUUGUAACCCGCUUUCGCCUGUGACGAAGCGUGAGUGACGGUAAUGGGUAAAGAAGCCCCGGCUAACUACGUG